RNAcentral lists this ribosomal RNA (444 nucleotides) under uncultured bacterium. RNAcentral describes it as "partial 16S ribosomal RNA". It matches the Rfam family "Bacterial small subunit ribosomal RNA", at positions 354 to 796 of the family's 1533-position model. The record is from RNAcentral.
GUAGGGAAUAUUGGGCAAUGGUCGGAAGACUGACCCAGCCAUGCCGCGUGCAGGAAGACGGCCCUCUGGGUUGUAAACUGCUUUUAUCUGGGAAGAAAAAGGCCAUGCGUGGCAAAUUGCCGGUACCAGAUGAAUAAGCACCGGCUAACUCCGUGCCAGCAGCCGCGGUAAUACGGAGGGUGCGAGCGUUGUCCGGAUGUAUUGGGUUUAAAGGGUGCGUAGGCGGCUGAUUAAGUCAGCGGUGAAAGGCUUCGGGUUAACCGGGGCAGUGCCGUUGAUACUGGUUGGCUUGAGUGUCGGAGGGGUACAUGGAAUUGAUGGUGUAGCGGUGAAAUGCAUAGAUACCAUCAGGAACACCGAUAGCGAAGGCAUUGUACUGGCCGACAACUGACGCUGAUGCACGAAAGUGUGGGGAUCGAACAGGAUUAGAAACCCCUGUAGUCC